Long non-coding RNA from Gymnodraco acuticeps, 665 nucleotides. RefSeq lists it as uncharacterized. The record is from RefSeq and is a predicted model, not a curated record. The transcript has 3 exons. NCBI's taxonomy places the organism in Eukaryota, Metazoa, Chordata, Actinopteri, Perciformes, Bathydraconidae.
GAAAUGGUACCAAACAAAGAGGACUCGAUUGAUCUCAAAGCUGUGGGAGGGCCAACCCAAGAAUAAAUCCCAGAAGAGGUCUGGUGAUGGUCUGUCGAGUGGUGACGAGGAAGACCCAUCUUUGCUGAGGAGGCCAGUGAGAAUGACAGUGACUGUGACAAGUUCAUCUGCCGGGUCUUUGGGUUUCUGAAGCCACACAUCAGACGUCACAACAAGGAAACACCAGCUAGUUUUAAGGACAAGUUGGCCCUGGCUGAGAAAGGUGAGUAGGCUGGGAGUGACAGUACCAUGGCAGUUAGUUUUGCAAACUAAUCCAGGGAGCCCACCAAGAAGUACACUGGCUACCCUACACCGAGACCUCCUUCCAGGACAGGAACAGCUGCUGAGGACCAACCCGAGUCUCCUAUGGAGAUGAGAGUUACCGGAGCAUCAUCCCGUGAUCUCCAAGAAAGGCUGGUUCAGUUCAUCACUACAGAGCAGCCAGUCAACAGGGCCACUCCUUUCUGCAAGUAUCUGGAAACUGAACUGGAUCGUCUGCAUGAUGCCUGCCUGGAACCUGCUUACCGGAAGAUGUCCAGACAGUUCAGGAUGAGGGAAGCGGCUGGUGACCAGAUCAGUCCCUUCGUAGAUGUCCCGUCGGCAUUACAGUCGCAGCAGCAGAGGCC